Molecule: ribosomal RNA, 502 nt
Filed under: uncultured bacterium
Lineage: Bacteria
Description: bacterial SSU rRNA
Rfam family: Bacterial small subunit ribosomal RNA
Source: RNAcentral
GGCGGCGUGGAUAAGACAUGCAAGUCGAACGCGACUUAUUUUGUUAGCAAUAACAGAGUAAGUUGAGUGGCGAAAGGGUGCGUAACACGUGGGAAUUUACCAAGAAGUGGGGAAUAGCUCGACGAAAGUCGAAUUAAUACCGCAUACGAUCGCAAGAUCAAAGCCGGGGACCGCAAGGCCUGGCGCUUUUUGAGAAGCCCGCGGCCCAUCAGCUAGUUGGCGGGGUAACGGCCCACCAAGGCUAUGACGGGUAGCUGGUCUGAGAGGACGACCAGCCACACUGGAACUGAGACACGGUCCAGACACCUACGGGUGGCAGCAGUCGAGAAUUUUUCACAAUGGACGAAAGUCUGAUGGAGCGACGCCGCGUGGAGGAUGAAGGUUUUCGGAUUGUAAACUCCUGUCACUGCAGAACAAGGAUAUGCCAGUUAACAGCCGGUGUAUUUGAUGGUAUGCGGAGAGGAAGGGACGGCUAACUCUGUGCCAGCAGCCGCGGUAAGAC